Molecule: ribosomal RNA, 253 nt
Filed under: uncultured bacterium
Lineage: Bacteria
Description: partial 16S ribosomal RNA
Rfam family: Bacterial small subunit ribosomal RNA
Source: RNAcentral
UACAGAGGGUGCGAGCGUUGUCCGGAAUCACUGGGCGUAAAGGGCGCGUAGGUGGCGAACCAAGUCGAUGGUGAAAGCUCGCCGCUCAACGGCGAGUCGGCCACCGAUACUGGGUUGCUUGAGCACUGUAGAGGCUAAUGGAAUUCCGGGUGUAGCGGUGGAAUGCGUAGAGAUCCGGAAGAACACCUGUGGCGAAGGCGGUUAGCUGGGCAGUUGCUGACACUGAGGCGCGACAGCGUGGGGAGCAAACAGG